GGGUGAUCUGGCUGUGAUGUGGGUUCAUUCGACUGAUCCAGCUGGCUAGGUGAGUGUCUCCUUUCUCCCUUUCAUGUCCUGAAGCUGAACACUCAGUUAAAGGGGACUACCCUUCCUGGACAGAGAAAGACCCAGACUCCAAUCAAGGGUAUAUAAGCAGCUGUGCCCCCUAUGAAGACGACCAGACAAGCUCUCAAGGCUACGCCAUUGGCCUAAACCACCCUCUUUCCUACCCUGACCUCUCCACUGACAUUUAUGUCUGU
This is a non-coding RNA of Mus musculus (house mouse), 263 nucleotides long. The record is from Rfam. NCBI's taxonomy places the organism in Eukaryota, Metazoa, Chordata, Mammalia, Rodentia, Muridae.